This 285-nucleotide long non-coding RNA is filed under the name Elaeis guineensis (African oil palm). RNAcentral describes it as "long non-coding RNA (EGUI_LNC037135)". The record is from RNAcentral. Lineage: Eukaryota; Viridiplantae; Streptophyta; Magnoliopsida; Arecales; Arecaceae.
CGUGGGUGUGACGAUGGUGAGCAAGGAGGUGAUGUAGCAUGGGAGUUUCCAAUCCUCCCACUUUCAUGACUCCCCCGAUGGUAGCGACGUCUGAUUGAAGAGGCAUCCGUUCGAUCGCUCCUACAUCUUUGGGCUUGUCCACGCCCUUGCCUCUCUCUCCUAGGCUUGAACCCAUGCUGCCUCCAUCAUCGCCGUCGACCUCCGCCUCAAUUCCUUUGAAAUUUGACACCUCCCUCUCAACCGCCCCUCUCGGCUUCCUCCCUCUACUGCUCACACUGUCACAAC